Tachysurus vachellii is the source of this 3569-nucleotide RNA transcript. RefSeq lists it as uncharacterized. The transcript is spliced from 2 exons. The record is from RefSeq and is a predicted model, not a curated record. Lineage: Eukaryota; Metazoa; Chordata; Actinopteri; Siluriformes; Bagridae.
AGAGCUGCAUUUCUGUCGGCUCUAAAUGAAGUUAGCCCGUCCAGUUGAAUGGCGGCAUCCGGAACUCUGUCGCUGAGCCACGUCUCCGUGAAAACAAACACGCAGCAGUUUCUAAUCUCUCUCCGGGUAGAGCGUUCGAGUCGUAUGUAGUCCAGUUUAUUGUCCAGGGAGCAAAUGUUGGCUAGUAGAAUGGACGGGAGAGCCGGCCGGCUAGGGUUUGUUUUUAGCCUAGCACGGACCCCCACCCGCUUACCGCGCUUCCGCUUCCUUGCGCACCGCUUUCGGCAUCCCCUCUCCUGGUCUCUGGUAUCAGGUGGUACCGGGGACUGGAGGCCUGGUCUCCGCAGCAAGCCGAGGUCACGUAGCCUAUACAGUACAUCAUCGUGCAGGUUGGUUGUUACACGAUUUCUGUACUUUAUUAGGUCCUGAUGGUUCUAUACAUGAACACCGCUGUGCCUGGCAUCCAUGCAUUUGUCUCACAAAGAACAAAGAGAAGAUCCAAUACAAGGUGAACAGUGUCAAAUACAUGGGUCAUGUUGUGACAUCAGAGGGUGUCAAAGUGGACAGUGCAAAAGUUAAGGCAAUAGUUGACAUGCCAUCCCCCACAGACAGACCUGCACUGCAACGCAUGCUUGGGAUGAUCAAGUAUCUCGCACAAUACAUACCCGGAGAAGCGACAGCCACAGCGCUGCUGAGACAACUGCUGAGAAAGGACAGUGUAUGGCAAUGGCAACAUGAACAUGAGGAAGCUGUAAAGAACCUAAAAAAAUGCGCUCGUAACAGCCCCUGUUCUUAAAUUCUUUGACCCAAAGAAAGCUGUCGUGAUACAAGCAGAUGCAUCCAAGGACGGUCUAGGCGCAUGUAUAAUGCAAGAGGGACAUCCUAUCGCCUAUGCAUCCAGAGCUCUUACUGACACAAAAAAAACUAUGCACAGAUAGAGAAGGAGCGUCUGGCUAUCAUGUUUUCAGUGAAACGUUUUCAUCAAUACGCCUAUGGAGUCAAAGUUAAUGUGCAGUCGGAUCACAAACCUUUGGAAGCAAUCUUAAGAAAGCCACUUGGAACAGCUCUGUCCAGACUUCAGCGGAUGCUACUUCAGCUGCAACGCUACGACCUGAAUGUAAUCUACACGCCAGGUAGAGAGCUACUGAUAGCAGAGACACUCUCACGAGCAACGACACGUGAGCAACAGAGACAGGAUGAUAUAUUUGAUGAAAAAGUGAACUAUGCCCUUGAGCCAACAGAGGCCUUGAGCCCAGAGACUCUGAUGCAGUUAAAGCAUGAGACACAAAAGGACGUCAUAUUACAAAUAUUGCUGAUUCACAGGCACGGUUGGCCACAUCACAGAAAACAAGUUGACAAAAAAGUGAUACAAUACUGGCCUAUUAGACACUCGGUGUCAAUAAGAGAAGGAAUAUUGUUUGUGGGAGGCAGAAUUAUUCUACCGAGUAAAAUGAGGUCAGACAUGUUACAGAGGCUGCAUGCGGCACACCAGGGUAUGCAACGCACCAAAGCUCUAGCCAGAGUACACUGGUAUUGGCCAGGUAUGACAAGAGACAUUGAAAAAAUGGUGGAGUCAUGUGCAACUUGCCAGCAGUUCCAGCCUCGCCAUCAGAGGGAGCCGAUGAUCUCUCAUGAAAUCCCAGAGCUUCCUUGGCUGAAAGUAGGAGCUGACAUAUUUGAAAUCAAUGGUCACUCAUUUCUUCUGGUUGUGGAUUAUUUUUCCAAAUACCCAGAAGUACAAAACAUCAGUGACAAAACGACACACACAGUUGUUAACAAGAUGAAAUCGAUAUUUACCAGAAUGGGUAUACCUAAAGAGAUUGUAUGCGACCAUAUGCCUUUUGCAAGCCAAGACAUGAGAAAGUUCGCCACAGCAUGGGGAAUUAAACUCACUCACUCCAGCCCAGGCUAUGCGCAGUCAAAUGGCCUGGCGGAGAGAACUGUGAAGACUGUUAAGCAGCUGUUAAAAAAGGCCAAGCAAACCAACACUGACCCAUUUCUGGCACUUCUAACUCUCAGGAACACACCUGUCACAGGUAUGGGUUAUUCUCUAGCACAACUGCUUAUGGGCAGGGUCCUGAGAAGCACUUUACCCAGCUCAAGCACAGUACUCCAACCUGCAGUACCAACUAAUGCACGUUCUACUCUUCAGGACCUCCAAAGAAGACAACAUGCUUAUUACAACAGAGGCACAAAGAAACUUCCAUUGCUGCCGUCAGGUGAGACUGUUCACAUGCAAACUGAACAAGGAUGGCAUCCUGCUGUUGUCAUGGCGAUACGUGCUGAACCGCGUUCCUACGACGUAGUGACAUCUUCAGGACAACAGUACAGACGCAACAGGAGACACCUAAGGAAGACACCUAGCGACAUUCAGGUGUACACUGAACCGGACCGUCUUGAGGCUGAGAUAGACAGCACCCCGGUCACUCCUACCGGUGCUGAUGAGACUGCGUGUGUACAAUCUUCUUCUCCUCCACAGAUACGUCAAACCAGAAGUGGCCGAGUUAUUAGGCCACCGGUGAGAUUCAAGGACUACGUGUUAAGCCAAUGAGUGCAUACAAUACUGGGUGUAUGUUGUGUUUAUAUAAAAAAAAAAAAGAGGUCAUGGUAGAUAUACAAUGGUAUGUUUAGUUCAGCUUAAGUUUAAUGUAUCCCUGAUUGAUACACAUGGAAAUAUUAUUUCAGCCAAGUUACAUUUUACUUAUUCAUCUUCCCUGCUAAAGAUAAACUUUUGUUUUUUUUUUAUUAUAAGAAAGGAGGAUGUAGUAUAUUGUACUGCGCACAUAUACUUAUGUUAAAAAACAUUUAAAAAUCGUUCGUUAGGGAUUAAAAUGUCUCCACAAAUUAAAUAUAGUAAUACCAACAAAUGUUGACUUCCAGGGCUCCAUGAGGGAAGCAGCAUAUAAAUCAUACAGAAUGAUGGUUUUUGAAAGAUAUAUAUCUAUAUAAACCAUUUGUCUCAAUGAAGAAGUAGUUAAGUUGUUUGUUUGUUUUUUUAGUAAAGCGGUAAUGUGAAGAGAUAUUACCCAGCAUCAGCGUUGCUAUGCAACCUUUAAAGCAACUAUGUUCACGAAGGUAAAUUUAGUUCCUGCACUUUCCAAAAAUAAAUGUCGCAAUGUUUUCGACUACAUUAUAUACCUUACAGUGUUUAUCGAAAUUAGUAUAAGUGCAUGUGUUCCAGAUCAUCAUGUUUUUUCCACCGUAAUUAGGAUUUUGUUUUGGGGUAAAUAAAAAGCUUCCGCUUCUACACGACGAAUCUGCUGAUCACUGGGAAUCAGAAUGUUGGCAUACGUGAGGUACCUGGAUGACGGCUGCACGGCAGUUGUUUCAACUAGCGAUAUUAAGGACUUUAAUUACGACAUGUUUGACCAAACUCAGGUUUAUUGGGUACGAUGGAAGCAAGACUUCUUCAGGGCACAAAUACUAAUGCUUAAAGAGAAUAAAGAAGACAUAGAGCAGGAGUUGUCUAAAGGCAAACAACUCCGGGUAGCACCUCUUAAAAAAACACGGUCAUCACCACCACAUACUACUUGUUCCUCGCUAAAAGAGAGCGCAUAAGCUAAGACCAA